Molecule: ribosomal RNA, 440 nt
Filed under: uncultured bacterium
Lineage: Bacteria
Description: partial 16S ribosomal RNA
Rfam family: Bacterial small subunit ribosomal RNA
Source: RNAcentral
CCUACGGGAGGCUGCAGUGGGGGAUAUUGCACAAUGGGGGGAACCCUGAUGCAGCGACGCCGCGUGGGUGAAGAAGCGCCUCGGCGCGUAAAGCCCUGUCAGCAGGGAAGAAAAUGACGGUACCUGAAGAAGAAGCCCCGGCUAACUACGUGCCAGCAGCCGCGGUAAAACGUAGGGGGCAAGCGUUAUCCGGAUUUACUGGGGGUAAAGGGGGCGCAGACGGCGAUGCAAGCCAGGAGGGAAAGCCCGGGGCCCAACCCCGGGACUGCUCUUGGAACUGCGUGGCUGGAGUGGAGGAGGGGCAGGCGGAAUGCCUGGUGUAGCGGUGAAAUGCGUAGAUAUCGGGAAGAACACCGGUGGCGAAGGCAGCCUGCUGGACUGAAACUGACGUUGAGGCCCGAAAGCGUGGGGAGCAAACAGGAUUAGAUACCCUUGUAGUC